Long non-coding RNA from Camellia sinensis, 1782 nucleotides. RefSeq lists it as uncharacterized. NCBI's taxonomy places the organism in Eukaryota, Viridiplantae, Streptophyta, Magnoliopsida, Ericales, Theaceae. The record is from RefSeq and is a predicted model, not a curated record.
UUAUCUCUCUCUCUCUCUCUCUCUCUCUCUCUCAUAAUCCCACAAACCCAUAAUCACCAUCUUCUUCUUCCUUUUUCUUCCUUUUUCUUCUUCUUCAUCACCACCACCAUCUCACCGCCGGCAUCACUAUUUCCUCUCCGUCCGACGAAUCUUCGGCGACCACCAUUUUUUCUGGCGAAUCUCCAUUCUUUCUCUCUAUUUCUCUACUUUUUCAAGGACAUGAGUCGACGUGUAUCUGCUCGGGCCUCCAAAAAGGCCAGAGGUUCCACCUCUUCAGCGCCACCACCGCCACCGUCACCACCAUCCUCGCCACCACCACCGGGUGACUUGCCACAGUCGGAGUGGGCUUCACGCCCGUUUCACAAGCUCACGCAGUUCAAUAUUCCAUAUUUUCAGCGUGACCCGACCACCUCUUGAGCCGUUGAACAGCUCCAACUCCGGCAACAGUUGGGCCUUUGCACUGUGACAGUGCCAACUUAUCUUCGUUCGGUAUGGCUCUUCUACCAGAACCUACGUGAGUCACUCACUGAGCCCAGGCUGCUAUCCAUCAUUGAUGGCCAUCUCGUCAGCAUCACUGAAUCCAUGAUUGCUGACACAUUAGGGUUUUUUGCCAAGCUAGAAUACCAGCCCUUCCCGAAAGUCGAGGGUCAACAACCCAUACAUAGCCUCAUCCAGCAAUACUUCCCGAGGGCCCACGGUGACACCAGUUUCACAUGCUUGCGGCGGAGCAAGCUGCCUAGCCGCUUGCUAUUCAUUGAUUCCGUGGUCUAUAAGAAUGCCCUUCCAUUUGGACAUAGAGCUGAGCGCCGUUUGGAGUUUGUUCUGGUUUUACACGGUUAUUAGCAUGGCUAUCAGGUCUCGUUUGAGCAUAUCAUCUGGAUGCAUGUGCGGAAAUUUCUACGAGAGACAGUUCGGCCUCAACCUAUGCAGAAACUAACUUGGCCACUACCAUUUGCUAAUUUGUUGACACUUGUCAUUGAGCUGAACGACCUCCCCAUUGCUUCGAAUGAGGAGAUUGAUAGAGCGUAUCUGACAUUCGGCCAGCGGGAAUGGUAGCAUAGCCUAUCUUGCAUCCCGCAGCAGGUUGGUGCCCCAGUUGAUGAGGCCCAGGACCUCGUCCACAACCACUCACCUCAUCUUGUUCCCCCCGUGCCUCCCCAAGGGGACCCACUCUACAUGACUCGCGAGGAGUACUUACAGCUUCAGCACUCUGUGGAUCAGGUCCACAGUACUCUCCGUGAUCACCACCAAAGUCUCAUGGGAUUGCGCACGGAUUUUCAAACGCAUUGAGACUAUUUUCAGGCGGCCUUCGACCAACUGCACGCCUGCCGCUUGACAUCCAGCAGUCAGUUGCAUCACUGCAAACUGAUUUUUAUACUUAUCGAGAGUCGAGCCAGCAGGGCCAUGAUCAGCUCAGCCAACGAGUUCAAGAUGAAGCCUUUGAGACGCGAUCUUUGAUGUACGCCUUGUUUGCCCAGCAUUUCCCACCACCACAGCCACCGGAUUCUCCGUAGUACCUGCCUAUAUAUUACUUUAUCUCUUUUAUUUUUAGUUAUUUAUUCUUUUCAAAAAAAAAGAAAAAAAAAAUGUGAAGUGUGUGUGUGUUACUAUAUGCCUACCUGGAUGUGCACCUACAAUCUCUGGUAAUCUUCUCUCAUUUCUCUUUACUUUUCAAUUGAGGACAAUGUCAUAUUCAAGUUGGGGAUGAGGGUUGUAUUUUCUUUUGUGCAUUUUUAUUGGCUAAAUCAUUUAUGCUUAUACAUGUUUCACUUGAUUGCAUUA